ACGGAUAAUGUCAACAAUGUCGGAUAAGAUACGGUUGGAUGUCGAUAUUAUAAAUAUACGAUUCAGGUAUUCGGAUACGGAAACGGUAUCGGAUAUUAAACAUUCGGACUCAGAUACGGACAGAUCUCAACCUCUCUAAACGAAUUCGGUCUCGAAUACGGUCGGAAAUCGUAUCCAAGGCCAGUGCGUGGAUCACCGUCACGUUCGUCGGGCUCCGCCCAGGGACAGACACCGAAUCUGAAUGAAGAGAAAAAACGUCAUCAAAGUUUUUUGGUUGGGAGUAUUUUUUAUGUUUAAUUAGCAAGUGACUCUUUUCCCCCCAACCAACCAUGCCGAACCUUGUACAAGAACGAAAAUAAACAAUGACCAGCACUCUACCCAACAGUGCUCGUGCCCUCCAUUUUUUUUUAAGAAAAACCCCGGCCGGCGGCCGAUCAGUUCUUCCCCCGCAGGCCCAGCGGUGCGCGCUCUCUCUCUGCUCCCAUCUUUCUCGGCGACGCCGCCGCAAGGUGUCCAGGUCGUAGCCGCCCGAUCGAUUCAGGUCGUCUUCGGGCCCUUGCGCUUCGCCGGCGGCGAGGAGCACCACCAGGUACGCCCACGCCUUGGUCUUCCCUUUCUGCUGCGCGAAACCGAUCCCCAAAAUCCUAAGUCCGUAACAUAACUUAGGCCUUGUUUAGAUGCAAACAAAAACCUAAAACUUUACAAGGUUCUCCAUCACAUCGAAUAUUGUGAAAUAUAUAACUACUUGCACAGUUUAUAUGUAAAUCGCGAAAGGAAUUUUUAAGCCUAGUUAGAUUGGAUAAUGUUUGUCAAAUAAAAAUGAAAAUGCUACGUUGUCAAAAUUUAAAAACUUUUUAGAUGUGAACAAGGCCUACUAUUUGCACUCGCGUCACAUCUAGUUACAAGUGUACGUAUAAGCAUUUAUUUAUCAUGGCUACUAACUUCGAUUAUUUUGCAAAAAGUUAUCGGCUGCCCUUUGCUGGGUCCGGCCCUGGUGAGUAGGCAGAAGUGACUCGAAAUCUUGAUUUUGCACUUCACUCUUUUCCCAAAAAGAAUUCACUUGUUUCCAAAAGAAUGAUUCGAACUUGGGACUACUGUGCAUCCGGAAUCGAUUGUGUUGUUUAGGGCCGGGACAGCAUAAGGUGGAAAUGUUUUUUUUUUUCAUUACUGCAGUCCAAAAGCAUUUGACUUGCAUGGACUGUGGACAAAGCAAAUUCUGUUGUUCCACAUGCAUCGCAUUGUUUGGCUAAACACCAUAGGGGGCACACGAUUCACACGAACACACCGCCUCCCUCUCCGCACCCUGUUUUCCUGCGCAAAUGCCCAUUUCUUCAUUUGUUUCUACAGUUGCUACAGUAGUGUUUCAUUGGAUGUCCAACUGACAGUGUUAUAUUUGUCUGUUGUUAUUGUUUAAUCAGUACGUAAUGCCACUUACUUUUAAUUUCCAUGUGUUCAUCCUCAGGAUUUUCUCCCACUUCUCCUGUUGCAAUGGAACAUAACUCUGCAGAGGACUCAGACAUUAGCGAUUCAGAUAUCGCUGAGCACAAGGAGAAGAUCUAUGCCCAAAUCCGAGCUGGAAAACUGAAAGUGAAGCGUGGCCAGGCCUUCGGCUGCCCUUUCUGCCCUGGCAGGAAGAGGCAGGACUACAACCUGAAGGAUCUGCUGCAGCAUGCCACAGGAAUAGGGGCUUCUUCUAAGCACACUGCCAAGGUGAGGGCAUCGCACCUGGGGCUUGCUAUGUUCUUGGAGAAGGAUAUAGCCAGCUCGUUGGACAAACCAUUGCAAAUUGUUCCCUACAAGCCAAAAACUCCAAAAGAUGAAGAUCUUUUUGUGUCGCCAUGGAUGGGCAUUGUGGUUAACUUACAGUGUGAGUUGAUGAAAGGCAAAGAAUUUUCCAGGGAAAGUGAAGAAAGACUAACAGCGCAGCUCUCGCGGUUCAGACCCCUCCAAGCCACGAUUCUUGGGGAUGAGAAGGACCAACCGUUUUGCGCUAUCAUCGAGUUUGCUAAGUACUUGAGUGGAUUUAAGGAUGCAAUGGCUUUUGAAAACCAUUUCAUACUCGAGCACUACAGUAAGCCUGAUUGGAAAAAACGAAAUUGCAGAAAGGACGAUCUUUAUGGAUGGAUUGCAAAAACAGAUGAUUUCAACUCCCCUGGGCCAAUUGGGGAGUAUCUACGGAAAAAUGGAAAUCUUAAAAGUGUCGCUGACCUGGAACGAGAGGGACUGAAAGAAACUGGCAAGCGUGUAGUUCAUUAUGCUCUCCAAAUUGAGGACACAAAUGAACACAUGCUUGAACUGGAGCAGAAGAAGAAUGUGAAUGUCAUGAAACUUUCUAGGAUGUUGGAGGAGAAUGAUCGAUUGGUUGAAGAGCACAAUGAAAGUAUGUACAUACAUUUUGGUCUUGCACUCGUUUUUACAUCAUAUAUAGCAUACUAAUUACUAAAUGAUAUUACUUGUUUUCUUUAUGUCGAAAUUUGAAACACAAAAUCUGAAUGGCUAAAUAUACUUGGAUUCAGCACGUUGUGGUCAUGUGCUCUCUGAAAUUACUGAGUUUGUUUUGCUCCUUUGAUCACCAGGGAUACUAAAAAUGCAGAAAGCUGCUCGUCGAAAUUCUUGGAAAAUAAUUAAUGACAAUAUUAAAUUGCAUGAAGAACUGGAAACCAAGAAAAAAGAAAUUGCCAGGAGACAUGAGGAACUCGAAAAGUCGGUUAUAAAUAGUACUGACAGAGAAAAGCUUGAAGCGACAAAAGAAGAGGUAUGUCCUCGUUAUGUUUUCUAAUACUGUUUGAUGUUCCUGAACUCAACAAGCUUCUCAUCUGUUUCUUAUUUAGUAUGUAUAUAUAUUUUUUCUGAGAUGUUAUUUAAUUUAAUAGUAUAUAUUUGCUAUUAAAUGCUCUUACAGAUUGCAAAGGAGAACAAGCUUCUUGAUUUAGCAACCCUAAAGCAGAAGGAAGAAGAUGAGAAGUUCUUAAAACUUGUUAAGGAACAAGAGGUAUUGCACUCUCACUAUUUUGGGCAUUUACCUGGUGAAAAUCCGUUCUAACUGGCCAAAAACUGCAGCAAGAGAAAGAAGAAAUUAUGAAGACGCUAUAUGAUUUAGAAAUGCAGUUGGCUUCCAAACAAAAACUUGAACUGGAAAGAGAACAACUGAGGGGGAAUCUUGAGGUACAGAAGCAUAUGGCAGAGGAAGAUGCAAAAUCGAAGGAGUUGCUCGAUAAGUUGCAUGAAGAACUUAAAGAGAAAGAUGAAGAAAUGGAGGGUAUUGAUUCUGUGAACCAGGCCCUUAUUAUUAAGCAUCGAAGAACCAAUGAUGAGCUGGAAGAAGCCAAGAAAGAACUGAUUACUGUAUAAGCUCUAUACUAGCGACUCAGCUUCUUCAGUUAUUUGUUCCUUUUUUUCUUUCUCUGAGAACAAUUUACUUGCUAUGUAGGGCCUAGUUAAUAUGUCAUCAGCUCGAUCCACUGUUGGUGUCAAAAGAAUGGGUGAGCUUGAUGAGAAAACUUUCCUUGCUGCUUGCAAAGAGAAAAUUGCAGAUGAGGAGGAGUUGGCAAUUCUGUGCUCGAAAUGGGAAGAUGAGAUCAGGCAUCCAGAAUGGCAUCCUUUCAAAGUUAUACAUGUUGGUGGAGAGGCAAAGGUGCUUCAUUCCUCACUGCUCAAUAGCUUCUCAUUUUCCCCUUUUAUGUAGUUUCUUGCAGUGGUUAGAAAAUGGGUAGCAGCAGCAGGUUCGUAGUUGUUCCUUUAAAAGGGUCAGAGAUGCUUUCUAGGUUUCUGGGUUUUUUUUGGGUGCCAUAGAGAUACAGAUUUUAUUUAACCGUAUUACUUUAUGAGCUACAAAUUUUUGAAUUAUUGAAUUGAGUUAUGUUAUUUCAGUAAUCCAUAAAAGCAGUGCUUUUUAUUUGUUAACUUGUAGGACUGUGAAAUAGUUCGUUUCCUGUUUUUCAUACCAUUGUUUCUUUGCUUGUUUGUGUGUUGCUGCUGUGACUUGGAUGCUAGUAGAUAAGAAAGUGUCGUUUGAGUUUAUAACCUUGUGGCUUGUGGGAAUAUGUACUAGAAACACUUUUUUAGGUAAUCAUCAUGGAAGUCCUUUGCUUGCAAUGUUCUUUGGACAUCAAAUACGUCACCUACUUAGAUAUUAUAGCAUGUCUGCGACACAUUAAAUUGGCAGAAUACUCUUUUGAACUGAAUGAAUUGUAAAUACCAUUAAUCUUUUUGAAGAACAUUUCCAGUUUUGUAAUUCAGGAAGAAAACCGAUUUGUAAACAAAGAUACAAAAAGCUUGAAAUAGUUUCACUGGAGCCAACUGUUACUGCACUUCCUUCUGUCCAUCUGUUCUCGAUUUAAUUUAACUGAGCUAUAUCCAAAAUAAGUUAACUUUCAAUUUUACCAUGUGUGCAUUGAGUCACUUUUAGAUUGCCCAGAUAGUAGCCAAGUCAUUAUUUUUAGCAUUUUCUUUGUGCUUCUGCCAUCCAACUUGUCAACAUUAGUACUUCCUACAAUUAGCACUACAGUAUUUUUCUUUUCCACACAAGAAUGUGGUGUGAAAGCGAAACCACUUCUGCUUGACACACUGACUGAAAUUCAAUACAAGUUCUUCAUGAAAUAGAAAAAAAAAGUAAUUUGUCGCAACAAAAUCCCUUCAGAAGCUGAAGCUGACUUUAGCUUGAAAUGCUUAUUAUUUCAGCUAACCUGUGUUGAAGCGUGCGUGCAGUGUCUAAACAACAUUCAUUGGCUGGUGCAGGAAAUAAUUAUGGAGGAUGAUGAGAAGCUGCAAGCUUUGAAGGCUGAACUGGGUGUGAAGGCACACGAUGUGGUGGUCAAGGCCCUCCGUGAGAUGAACGAGUAUAAUCCAAGCGGCAGGUACCCCAUACCAGAGCUGUGGAACUUCAGGGAGGACCAGAGAGCACCAAUGGGCGAGGCAGUAGCCUACAUAGUGAAGCGGUGGAAGGCGAACAAGAAGAAACACACCUACUACUGAUGAAGUAGCGCCUGAUGGCCCCUUGGCUUGCUGGACUGCGUUGUGCCAUUGGUUCCUGGGUGGCUGGGUCGAUGUCUCUGAGAAGUGAGAACUAGGAGCCUGAGACCCUCUACUGAUGAAACCUAGUACCAGUAGUACUACUAAAUUUGUCCGAUCUCUUGGACGGUUGGAUUUGCAAUGCAAUGGUCUAUGGCACCUAGUACAAAGAUCUAUUAUUGUGGAUAAAAAAACAUAGUGUGUUUAAUAAUUGGACUUUGCUAGAGCGUGCAUGUGCCGGAAAUUGGAUUUCCGGCUGCACAUUCCAAUUUGGGGAAAGAAAUUAUUUUGGUUGCCAAAAAAAGGAAAAAAAAAAACACAGACCAAAUCUAGGGUUCACUGAUUUUGAUGCCCUCGCCCCGACCGUUGGCCACCGCCCUGCCGCGGGCACUAGGGUCCCCUCCCCCCUCCCUUGCUGCCAUCUUUGGUAGCUUUGACGAGCAUACCUGUCGUUAUGUUCUCCAGCUCUGGAGAGCAUCUCCUGCUCUGACCUAGGCCGACUGCCCCUACUACUGUCAACCUUGAGCCGCCCAUUGACCAUCACCAAUUCCCCACCGCUUGCCUGUCUCCCUAAAUCCUCUUCUCUUUUCUAAGCUCACUGGAGUUGAGCAAGAGAAGGGGAGAGCUCGUCAGAACUCUAGAUAGCAGAUCCAAAAGGAGGACGAAGAGGCCUACCUGGCCGCAGAUUCGGUGCCCGCAUCCGCCAUGGCCGCACUUGGGGGAGGCGGUGGACGAAGAGGCCUACAUGGCGGCAGAUUCGGUGCCCGCAUCCGCCAUGGCCGCACGUGGGGGAGGCUGUGGACGAAGAGGCCUACCUGGCGGCAGAUUCGGUGCCCGCAUCUGCCAUGGCCGCACGUGGGGGAGGCGGUGGGGCACGGGUAUGGACACGAGGAGGCGGUGGGAUGUCGGUGUAGGCCGCCAGAGCUCAUCGAGCGCGGAUCUAGCCACUAGAGCUCACCGGGCGCAGAUCUAUCACGCUGCUGCCAUGGUUGCCUGAGAGAGAGAGAGAGAGAGAGAGAGAGAGAGAGAGAGAGAGAGAGAGAGAGAGAGAGAGUGGG
Molecule: long non-coding RNA, 6068 nt
Filed under: Sorghum bicolor (sorghum)
Lineage: Eukaryota; Viridiplantae; Streptophyta; Magnoliopsida; Poales; Poaceae
Description: long non-coding RNA (SBIC_LNC000280)
Source: RNAcentral